GAUGAACGCUGGCGGCGUGCCUAAUACAUGCAAGUCGAGCGAACGGACGAGAAGCUUGCUUCUCUGAUGUUAGCGGCGGACGGGUGAGUAAAACGUGGAUAACCUACCUAUAAGACUGGGAUAACUUCGGGAAACCGGAGCUAAUACCGGAUAAUAUUUUGAACCGCAUGGUUCAAAAGUGAAAGACGGUCUUGCUGUCACUUAUAGAUGGUUCCGCGCUGCAUUAGCUAGUUGGUAAGGUAACGGCUUACCAAGGCAACGAUGCAUAGCCGACCUGAGAGGGUGAUCGGCCACACGGGAACUGAGACACGGUCCAGACUCCUACGGGAGGCAGCAGUAGGGAAUCUUCCGCAAUGGGCGAAAGCCUGACGGAGCAACGCCGCGUGAGUGAUGAAGGUCUUCGGAUCGUAAAACUCUGUUAUUAGGGAAGAACAUAUGUGUAAGUAACUGUGCACAUCUUGACGGUACCUAAUCAGAAAGCCACGGCUAACUACGUG
Molecule: ribosomal RNA, 497 nt
Filed under: uncultured bacterium
Lineage: Bacteria
Description: partial 16S ribosomal RNA
Rfam family: Bacterial small subunit ribosomal RNA
Source: RNAcentral